RNAcentral lists this ribosomal RNA (292 nucleotides) under uncultured bacterium. Its description in RNAcentral is "partial 16S ribosomal RNA". It matches the Rfam family "Bacterial small subunit ribosomal RNA", at positions 505 to 796 of the family's 1533-position model. The record is from RNAcentral.
GUGUCAGCCGCCGCGGUAAUACGGAGGGUGCAAGCGUUAUCCGGAUUCACUGGGUUUAAAGGGUGCGUAGGCGGAUUGGUAAGUCCGUGGUGAAAUCUCCAAGCUUAACCUGGAAACUGCCGUGGAUACUCUCAAUCUUGAAUAUAGUGGAGGUGAGCGGAAUAUGUCAUGUAGCGGUGAAAUGCUUAGAUAUGACAUAGAACACCAAUUGCGAAGGCAGCUCGCUACACGGUUAUUGACACUGAGGCACGAAAGCGUGGGGAUCAAACAGGAUUAGAUACCCUCGUAGUCC